GCUUGCUCUUAUGAAGUUAGCGGCGGACGGGUGAGUAACACGUGGGUAACCUGCCCAUAAGACUGGGAUAACUCCGGGAAACCGGGGCUAAUACCGGAUAACAUUUUGAACCGCAUGGUUCGAAAUUGAAAGGCGGCUUCGGCUGUCACUUAUGGAUGGACCCGCGUCGCAUUAGCUAGUUGGUGAGGUAACGGCUCACCAAGGCAACGAUGCGUAGCCGACCUGAGAGGGUGAUCGGCCACACUGGGACUGAGACACGGCCCAGACUCCUACGGGAGGCAGCAGUAGGGAAUCUUCCGCAAUGGACGAAAGUCUGACGGAGCAACGCCGCGUGAGUGA
This 339-nucleotide ribosomal RNA is filed under the name Bacillus thuringiensis. RNAcentral describes it as "bacterial SSU rRNA". It matches the Rfam family "Bacterial small subunit ribosomal RNA", at positions 78 to 408 of the family's 1533-position model. The record is from RNAcentral. Lineage: Bacteria; Bacillati; Bacillota; Bacilli; Caryophanales; Bacillaceae.